GAUGAACGCUGGCGGCGUGCCUAAUACAUGCAAGUAGAACGCUGAAGGAAGGAGCUUGCUCUUUCCGGAUGAGUUGCGAACGGGUGAGUAACGCGUAGGUAACCUGCCUGGUAGCGGGGGAUAACUAUUGGAAACGAUAGCUAAUACCGCAUAACAGUAGAUGUUGCAUGAUAUCUACUUAAAAGGUGCAAUUGCACCACUACCAGAUGGACCUGCGUUGUAUUAGCUAGUUGGUGAGGUAACGGCUCACCAAGGCGACGAUACAUAGCCGACCUGAGAGGGUGAUCGGCCACACUGGGACUGAGACACGGCCCAGACUCCUACGGGAGGCAGCAGUAGGGAAUCUUCGGCAAUGGACGGAAGUCUGACCGAGCAACGCCGCGGGAGUGAAGAAGGUUUUCGGAUCGUAAAGCUCUGUUGUAAGAGAAGAACGAGUGUGAGAGUGGAAAGUUCACACUGUGACGGUAUCUUACCAGAAAGGGACGGCUAACUACGUG
Molecule: ribosomal RNA, 497 nt
Filed under: uncultured bacterium
Lineage: Bacteria
Description: partial 16S ribosomal RNA
Rfam family: Bacterial small subunit ribosomal RNA
Source: RNAcentral